AUGCAGGACAAAGACAACUCUAUUGUCAGUGACCUGACUCCAGGGGAAUGGCAAGAAGUGAAGAACAUCCCAGGAAGAAAGAGGAGCUGCAGACUGACAUAGCUAACUGAAGGAUGAGAAUUGCAAUAGCUAACAAAAUUGAGAAUCUAGGACACAGAGAAGAAUGGUAAGACAUGCAGAAUAACAAACAGGUGGCCAUGGGUAGACAAAAAUUAAUGCAGGUACUAGAAAAAGAUUCAGUUCUUAACAGAGAAAGGUCUGUUCAACAGACCCUUGUUGAACACUUGUGAAGACACUGCCCAGUUUUUGUAGAAAGGUGAAGAACUCAGCAAAACAGCCGUUGCCUGGGGGAAGAGGUGAGUUUAAUAUCCAGGUUCUUCGUUGCUUUUGUGGAGGUACAUGAGUUCAUGGAUUUAAAUUUUGUCUAACCAUUACAGCAAUUCCUGUGGCCGUGAGAGGCACAAAAGCCUGACACGAUGAUGGAGGCAUUUGCCCAGGGAUAUUGUCAGUGCAGUAAAGAAUAAUUUUAGUUCAGACGCUCAUGCUGUCUCCCCUUUGCCAUCAUUUUGUUGAACAGCAGCCAUAACCCCAGUGUCAAAAAUAAGCCCCCCGCAAAGGCUAUUGCCAUUAAUAGAGGCGCCAGUGAUGGAGGAGUCCUGCUAGACAAGCAACUCCGGAGUCUGCAGUUUCCUAAUUCAAU
Molecule: long non-coding RNA, 700 nt
Filed under: Homo sapiens (human)
Lineage: Eukaryota; Metazoa; Chordata; Mammalia; Primates; Hominidae
Description: non-protein coding lnc-SMS-1:1
Source: RNAcentral